RNAcentral lists this ribosomal RNA (503 nucleotides) under uncultured bacterium. Its description in RNAcentral is "partial 16S ribosomal RNA". It matches the Rfam family "Bacterial small subunit ribosomal RNA", at positions 28 to 507 of the family's 1533-position model. The record is from RNAcentral.
GACGAACGCUGGCGGCGUGCUUAACACAUGCAAGUCGAACGGUAAAGCGCUUUGCUUUUGGGUUGGUGUGGAGGAGGGGCGAACGGGUGAGUAACACGAGAGUAACCUGCCCCCUCCUUCUGGAUAACCUCAGGAAAGUGAGGCUAAUACGGGAUAUUCUGCGCCUGCGGCAUGGUGGGUGUGGGAAAGAUUGUGCCUUUGGGUGUGUCCGGUGGGGGAUGGGGUCGCGGCGGAUCAGCUUGUUGGUGGGGUGAUGGCCUACCAAGGCGGUGACGGGGGGCCGGGCUGAGGGUCUGCCCGGUUACACUUGGACCGCGACACGGCCCCGUCUCCUACGCGGCGCAGCGGUAUGUUGUACUGCGCGCUGAGCGCUAGCCUGACGCAGCCGCGCCGCGUAAGGGAGGCUUGCCUUCGGGUUGUGAACCUCUUUCGCCAGAGAAGCAGCCCGUCUCCUUGUGGGUGUGUUGACGGUAGCUGGAGAAUAAGCGCCGGCUAACUACGUG